This 67-nucleotide transfer RNA is filed under the name Drosophila biseriata. RNAcentral's name for it is "tRNA-Trp". It matches the Rfam family "tRNA". Rfam says of the family: Transfer RNA (tRNA) molecules are approximately 80 nucleotides in length. Their secondary structure includes four short double-helical elements and three loops (D, anti-codon, and T loops). The record is from RNAcentral. Lineage: Eukaryota; Metazoa; Arthropoda; Insecta; Diptera; Drosophilidae.
AAGGCUUUAAGUUAAAUAAACUAAUAGCCUUCAAAGCUAUAAAUAUUGAUAAAUUCUUUAAGCCUUA